Passer domesticus (house sparrow) is the source of this 433-nucleotide long non-coding RNA. RefSeq lists it as uncharacterized. The transcript is spliced from 3 exons. Lineage: Eukaryota; Metazoa; Chordata; Aves; Passeriformes; Passeridae. The record is from RefSeq and is a predicted model, not a curated record.
GGAGAGGAGGUUCUUCCCUUCCCUACCCUUCCUUCUCCUCUCUUGUCUCUCUUCUUCCUUCCCCUCCCCAUUCUCCAUCCCAUUUCCUUUUCUUUUUCCCCAAAGAUUGCAUACAAGUAGAAUUCACUCUGGCAAGGAGGACAGCCACAGGUGAUUGUUCAUUGCCAGUCUUCAUUUCAGAAGUCCUUCACACAAGCUCAGGUGAUUUCCACUUUGCACAUUUUGACUUUAUGCCUAAAUGCUAUCAGAACUGCUGUGUAGCUCAUGCUGGACAGAAUACUAACACCUACAUGAAAGACAAGCAGUGUGCAUAACCUGUCUUCAGGGAAGCCUAAAUCUAAGCCCUCUCACUACAGGGAUGCUGUCAUCCUGCACCAAGAGACUGUGAGAAUAGAAGUAUGGUGGGAGCAUUGGGUCUGGGCAGCAGGACCAG